GGGGGCGCCCAGCCUGCUUGCCAGCCGUGGAAACAAUGCCGAGCAUCUCUGGGGCUGAAUUCAGCUCCGCUCAUCCAAAUACUCAUCCCGUGUGUGUCAACACCAUGACGUGUGUGCUAAAAAUAAGUGGCCCUGAUGGAGCUCUUCUGAGCGGGCAAACAACUUCCCCAUCCAUUAUGUUCAGUGGGUCCCCACAGGGUCUGAGGAGGAACCAGGCGGGAAGGGACUGCUUCGUAGGCCAGAGAUAGGAACCGAGGCCUGGGGAGAUCCGGGGACUUGUGGGAGGCCACACAGACAGUAGAUGGCCGUGUUAAGACAGAAGUGAAAUCUUUAAACAUCGAAAUCUGCAAGAAGGAUGAUCAGGGGUCUGGGGACAGAAUUUCAAAAGGGCAGAGCAUGGAUGAAACCAUUCAAAGCCGCAUUAACGCUCCACCAAUGCACCAAGCUCUGUGUAUAAAGGAGCACUGAGAAGGACACAUAACUGGAAAGAGGAAAGGAGAUUUUGGGUCCGUAGAGAGCAAGAAGACAGACCCAGGAAUGUUUAACCCAAGGAACACUGAGAAGGCUGAUGAAAGCUUCCCCCAAACAAUCAAAGGCUCUCUGGGUGGGUCAGGCUGCAGUGUCGGAGGCCUUUGCAGGCAAACUGCUACGGUUGCAAACAGCUCUGCUACGUCCACCUGAAUGAUUUAGAUGUCUGUAAUUUCUGAUCCCUAGGCCUAGGCUACUGGUUUCUGCGAAGGAAAGGCUGGUGGAACAAGGGUGGUUUCUUAUAGGAUUGUCAGGGCUAUCAAAGAAACUAAUGUAAACAAAGUCAAUAAAGAAAUGGUCAAUGGAAAUGAAUAUUCAACAGACAAUCGUUAUGUCUAUACCCAGGAAAGAACUUUACAUUCAUUUAACCUAGCAAGUCUAAUGAGUAGCUGUGAAUUCUCUAUAGAGAGAUGAAGAAUUCUGAAACAGAUGUAGGGAUCUACAAUUAUUUGCAGCCAUAAAAGGCUCUUCCAAACAGUAUGGGCCUAUUAAUUCCUUUCAUUCACACAUACUGAAGAUCAAGUCAAUGAGAAGAUUUCUGCUAGGCUGAAAAACACACCAAGCCAAGAAAUUAGCUACACAAUGUCACCACUUAUAUGCAACGCUGGAGUUGUCCUACCUGGGUAACAAAGCCAGCAAGAAGGCAAAAGGACUAAGGAUAGGAGAAGAAAGAGAAGUAAAACUGUCACUGUAACCAACAAGAUGACCAACUACAUAUAACGCCCAACAGGAUCUUCAGACAGUUUUGAAUUAGUAAAUAAAUUAAGCAAGGUAAUUAGCCAUAAGGGCAACCUGCAAAGAAUUGGUUGUAUUCCCAUAUAUUAGUAACACGAGAAAUCAGAAAGUCACAUUAGAAACAUCCCAGCUUCUAGAAAUAAAUGUUACAAUACAAAAUAUCAAAAACCUCUCUACCAAAAACUAUUCAAAAUCAUUGGUAAAAACAAAAGCCAGUCUAAUUAGAGGUGCAUGUUCACGGUCAGACUUCGCUGACUGUAAUUCUACGUAACCCCAUCUGAAAAUUCAUUAGGUUUUUUAAUACAAACUAAAAAUCAAAUCUUACAUUUCCUAUGGGAAAUUAAGGCACCAGGACGAUCCAGCUACCGAGGAGACUCUGGCAGGAGGAUCUCUUGAGAGCUCUUGAGAUCCCCGGUUUGAGAUCAUUCUAGACAACGUACCAAGACUCACCUCAGAGCAAACAAAAAGAGGGCUGGGAUUUAGCUCAGUGGUGCUGCCCCC
Fukomys damarensis (Damara mole-rat) is the source of this 1764-nucleotide long non-coding RNA. The record is from Ensembl. NCBI's taxonomy places the organism in Eukaryota, Metazoa, Chordata, Mammalia, Rodentia, Bathyergidae.